GCCGGUGCUGAGGAUGAAGACGGGGACUCUCGCGCGCACUCCGAGGGUUGCCCUGGGAUCCUCCCUCCGCUCAAGCUGCCACCACCUCCAGAUCGGCUCCCCCCGAACUUCACACCGCCGGUGGUGACCGACGCAUCGCAGGCAUCUACGGAGAAGGGGUGGGUGGAGGUCGGGGGCCAGCAUCGCCGGAGGUUGGAGAGGCUAUCUGCCCCGCCCCGCAAGAAGGAGACCGACCGCGCCCUCGCUUUCAAGCGGAGAGCUUAUGGGCUCUGCUUCCGUUGCUUGGCAGAGGACCACUUCGUCGCCGACUGUCGUGGGCCUGUCACCUGCCUGGGCUGCGGCCGCUCUGGGCAUCGCGAGCGUGGCUGUCCGGACCACCUCCCUGCCAGCUAUGGUCAUCUCCGCAGCGCCCUGUUGCCGCCGGCUGCUCCUCACCUCCCCACACACCCGCCCCAAGCUCCUUCACUGCGGUUGCAGAAGCGUUCGUGGGCCUCUGUUGUUGCUGCUCCGACUGGGCUCGUCCAAGGGGUCCCUUGU
This 537-nucleotide ribosomal RNA is filed under the name Triticum aestivum (bread wheat). RNAcentral's name for it is "partial small subunit ribosomal RNA". The record is from RNAcentral. Lineage: Eukaryota; Viridiplantae; Streptophyta; Magnoliopsida; Poales; Poaceae.